Molecule: long non-coding RNA, 340 nt
Filed under: Coffea arabica (coffee)
Lineage: Eukaryota; Viridiplantae; Streptophyta; Magnoliopsida; Gentianales; Rubiaceae
Description: long non-coding RNA (CARA_LNC007198)
Source: RNAcentral
CUCUAAGCUGAACUUGGGCCCUGCCCUUGGUUACUGACCUACUCGAGCCAGGACUGGGCUCGGUCGGGUAGGUUGGAACCCUGGGCCACCGUUUCGGUAUACUCGAGUAUUACCACUGGAGGGAUAAGGUGAUGGCCAGUCAAACCGAGGGGAUCCGGAAGUCAUAAGGUGCAGAUGACCGACAGAGUUCCACUGGAACACCGUAUCCUACAGUAUAUAUUUACCUUGUGUCAUGAUAAUUGUUUCAUGCUAAAAUGCCAACAUGAAAUCCUGAGCCAUGCCUGUGUUAUGCUCCAUACCUGUUACCUGUCCAAUGUACUCAUAUCAUGAUACCUGUUUC